Molecule: ribosomal RNA, 188 nt
Filed under: uncultured bacterium
Lineage: Bacteria
Description: partial 16S ribosomal RNA
Rfam family: Bacterial small subunit ribosomal RNA
Source: RNAcentral
ACUACAUGAAGCUGGAAUCGCUAGUAAUCGCGGAUCAGAAUGCCGCGGUGAAUACGUUCCCGGGUCUUGUACACACCGCCCGUCACACCAUGGGAGUCGGAAAUGCCCGAAGUCUGUGACCCAACCUGAGAGGGAGGGAGCAGCCGAAGGCAGGUCUGAUGACUGGGGUGAAGUCGUAACAAGGUAGC